GAUGAACGCUAGCUACAGGCUUAACACAUGCAAGUCGAGGGGAAACGAUAUUGGAAGCUUGCUUCCGAUAGGCGUCGACCGGCGCACGGGUGAGUAACGCGUAUCCAACCUGCCCAUCACUUGGGAAUAACCUUGCGAAAGUAAGACUAAUGCCCAAUGACAUUUAUAGAAGGCAUCUGAAAUGAAUUAAAGAUUUAUCGGUGAUGGAUGGGGAUGCGUCUGAUUAGCUUGUUGGCGGGGUAACGGCCCACCAAGGCGACGAUCAGUAGGGGUUCUGAGAGGAAGGUCCCCCANAUUGGAACCGAGACACGGUCCAAACUCCUACGGGAGGCAGCAGUGAGGAAUAUUGGUCAAUGGACGUAAGUCUGAACCAGCCAAGUAGCGUGCAGGAUGACGGCCCUAUGGGUUGUAAACUGCUUUUAUGUCGGGGAUAAAGUUAGGAUGUAU
RNAcentral lists this ribosomal RNA (447 nucleotides) under uncultured bacterium. RNAcentral describes it as "bacterial SSU rRNA". It matches the Rfam family "Bacterial small subunit ribosomal RNA", at positions 28 to 464 of the family's 1533-position model. The record is from RNAcentral.